Molecule: long non-coding RNA, 1337 nt
Filed under: Suricata suricatta (meerkat)
Lineage: Eukaryota; Metazoa; Chordata; Mammalia; Carnivora; Herpestidae
Description: lncRNA (ENSSSUG00005020140.1)
Source: RNAcentral
CAAUCAGUAAGCAAGAUUUUGCCAAAUGCUUCCAGGUGGCACUUGAUGAGAUGAUAUGCUACACCCUGUAAACACAUGCAAGUCUUCAGGAAACAGCCUCGAAUAUUUAAAGGUUCUCUGCUCAUGAAGCAAGUGAGAUGGUCCAUGACUUUUGGAGGGAGCAGCAGGGCCUCCAGAUCCCUGGGCUCAGAGAAGAGGAGCCAUCUUGGAACUGGAUUCUGUGUCUAAGUUCCCCAUUGUUUGACUGAUCUUGGGCACCUGGAUUUACUCUGCUCUUAACUGCUCUGUGGACUUCUGGAAGCUCCUGUUCCUGUCUUGGACUCACAUACAACUCCCAGUUAUGAUUCAGUUCUCCCAGACUCAUCAUUUCAUUCCUCGUCCUCUUUCAUGCUUAAGUAAUGUGUAAAUUUUUACUUUGACCCUUGACUAGACCCUGCUUCCAUCCAUCUAUCUUUCUUUCUUUCUCUCUCUCUCUCUCUUUCUCUCUCUCUCUCUCUCUUUCUUUUCUUUCAUCCUCCAACCAGAUUUAUUGAACAUAACACAAUUGUAUAUACAAGGUGACCUGGAUCUGCUGCCUCAAAACAUGAACCGUUCUUUCUUACUUAGGAACUUACUCUAAAAUUAAUAGAAAAGUGCCCAAUGAAGACUAAAUACAUGGGGCCUAACCCCUGGGAGUUUAAUAGUUCUAUAAGAUAAUUAAUAUAGGUAGGAUCAAGUCCCUACGACAGGCUGCUGGAGAACUGACAGAAGAUGUCAGGAGGCCAUUUUGUGCUCUGCCACUGUGAUGCCAUCAUGUUUCUGGAUCAUAAUGUUCCCAUUAUCUGAUUCCAGACACACCACAGGAAUUAGUGGGGGCUGCACUUAGCUUAGCUGUUUGCUGGGCUAGAACAGGUGUCACUCCAGCGCACUCAUCUGACAGGGACCCAUGGCACCCUAGAUUAGGACCUUGUGAAUCUGUGCACAGGACUCCAACAAUGGCUGGAUUCUUCACCGGGUCCUCCAAGUGUUGCGCCAAGGUCUACUCCAUCCUGCCUGCUGUCCACCCACCCCUACCCUGCUUCCAGCUGUAUGUACUUAGUUGUCCAUAAACCAAGGUCUCACAAUAUCCAAACACCUCCUGGAUUAGGUAAUAUUAUCUAAGAUGUUAGCCCCAAAUAUCUUACUUUAUGUUGCCCAUGGCAGGUACAGGAUUACAACAGAUUUCAUGAUUUAAAUUCUUUCUCAUUGAUUGCCUCUGGAGAAAGGAACAGGGUGGCAAAAAAUAAAACCUGGUUUCAAAUGAAGCAAAAAAAAAAUAAUUUGAAAUGUAACUAUUUCUAAGAAAUCCCGUGUUUGGC